RNAcentral lists this ribosomal RNA (429 nucleotides) under Actinomycetes bacterium. Its description in RNAcentral is "Actinobacteria bacterium partial 16S ribosomal RNA". It matches the Rfam family "Bacterial small subunit ribosomal RNA", at positions 355 to 776 of the family's 1533-position model. The record is from RNAcentral. Lineage: Bacteria; Bacillati; Actinomycetota; Actinomycetes.
UAGGGAAUCUUCCGCAAUGGGCGAAAGCCUGACGGAGCAACGCCGCGUGAGUGAUGAAGGUCUUCGGAUCGUAAAACUCUGUUAUUAGGGAAGAACAAAUGUGUAAGUAACUAUGCACGUCUUGACGGUACCUAAUCAGAAAGCCACGGCUAACUACGUGCCAGCAGCCCCGGUAAUACGUAGGUGGCAAGCGUUAUCCGGAAUUAUUGGGCGUAAAGCGCGCGUAGGCGGUUUUUUAAGUCUGAUGGGAAAGCCCACGGCACAACCGUGGAGGGUCAUUGGAAACUGGAAAACUUGAGUGCAGAAGAGGAAAGUGGAAUACCAUGUGUAGCGGUGAAAUGCGCAGAGAUAUGGAGGAACACCAGGGGCGAAGGCGACUUUCUGGUCUGUAACUGACGCUGAUGUGCGAAAGCGUGGGGAUCAAACAGG